GCCCGGCUAGCUCAGUUGGUAGAGCAUUCGACUCUUACACGGGGUUUUCGACCUUCUCCCAGGUUGCCAUCGAAUUGUCGUGGGUUCGAGCCCCACGUUGGGCG
This 104-nucleotide transfer RNA is filed under the name Puccinia graminis f. sp. tritici. RNAcentral's name for it is "tRNA-Lys". It matches the Rfam family "tRNA". From Rfam's summary of the family: Transfer RNA (tRNA) molecules are approximately 80 nucleotides in length. Their secondary structure includes four short double-helical elements and three loops (D, anti-codon, and T loops). The record is from RNAcentral. Lineage: Eukaryota; Fungi; Basidiomycota; Pucciniomycetes; Pucciniales; Pucciniaceae.